RNAcentral lists this transfer RNA (71 nucleotides) under Porphyromonadaceae bacterium W3.11. RNAcentral's name for it is "tRNA-Cys". It matches the Rfam family "tRNA". Rfam says of the family: Transfer RNA (tRNA) molecules are approximately 80 nucleotides in length. The record is from RNAcentral. Lineage: Bacteria; Pseudomonadati; Bacteroidota; Bacteroidia; Bacteroidales; Porphyromonadaceae.
GGUUCCUUAGCCGAGUGGUUAGGCACCGGACUGCAAAUCCGUUUACGGCGGUUCGAAUCCGCCAGGAACCU